This 253-nucleotide ribosomal RNA is filed under the name uncultured bacterium. Its description in RNAcentral is "partial 16S ribosomal RNA". It matches the Rfam family "Bacterial small subunit ribosomal RNA", at positions 524 to 776 of the family's 1533-position model. The record is from RNAcentral.
UACGUCGGGGGCAAGCGUUGUCCGGACUCAUUGGGCGUAAAGAGCGUGUAGGCGGCCCGAUAAGUCCGCCGUGAAAGUCCAGGGCUCAACCCUGGAAUGCCGGUGGAAACUGUCGGGCUGGAGUCCGGAAGAGGCGAGUGGAAUUCCUGGUGUAGCGGUGAAAUGCGCAGAUAUCAGGAGGAACACCAAUGGCGAAGGCAGCUCGCUGGGACGGUACUGACGCUGAGACGCGAAAGCGUGGGGAGCGAACAGG